GGAGGAUUUGCCUAGCGGCCGAAGGCGUUGGUCUUGAAAACCAAAGUGGUGAUGAGCCACCGUGGGUUCGAAUCCCACAUCCUCCG
This 86-nucleotide transfer RNA is filed under the name Catenulispora sp. Its description in RNAcentral is "tRNA-Ser". It matches the Rfam family "tRNA". From Rfam's summary of the family: Transfer RNA (tRNA) molecules are approximately 80 nucleotides in length. Their secondary structure includes four short double-helical elements and three loops (D, anti-codon, and T loops). Further hydrogen bonds mediate the characteristic L-shaped molecular structure. tRNAs have two regions of fundamental functional importance: the anti-codon, which is responsible for specific mRNA codon recognition, and the 3' end, to which the tRNAs corresponding amino acid is attached (by aminoacyl-tRNA synthetases). tRNAs cope with the degeneracy of the genetic code in two manners: having more than one tRNA (with a specific anti-codon) for a particular amino acid; and 'wobble' base-pairing, i.e. permitting non-standard base-pairing at the 3rd anti-codon position. Lineage: Bacteria; Bacillati; Actinomycetota; Actinomycetes; Catenulisporales; Catenulisporaceae. RNAcentral also lists the same sequence under 1 other name. The record is from RNAcentral.